UAUGUAAAAACUAAAUCCUCUUAUUCAGAUCCCAAUGUACAAAGACGAUGGCGAUGCGGUCCGUUUCUCCAUAUAUGUAUGGAGCAUGGCCGAGGUCUUUGGUCUACGGAGGAUGACAAAAUACUAUCUCAAUUAGUGGUUUUCCAUUUCCCGUUUUCAUUUGUCCAACGAAUCGAUUCCUAAAUGUCGACGGUACCGGGCCCCAGGAUUGGGUCUGCAGCUUUGCGUCAAACAUUUCCAAACAUGUAUCACCUGUUCGGAUUUAAAAGAUAACAAUCACAAUGUUUAA
This 289-nucleotide small RNA is filed under the name Drosophila willistoni. Its description in RNAcentral is "GK27818". The record is from RNAcentral. Lineage: Eukaryota; Metazoa; Arthropoda; Insecta; Diptera; Drosophilidae.